AAGAUGAUACACUCUCUGUUCUCAUGCUCCUUAAAUUUGGGGUUGAUGGACUGAGGAUAAAGAUAGAUAAUAGGCAUGUGAAGGAAAAAGAGACUUUCAUGGGGUGGAAGCUUAGAUGAGCUAUUGCAGUGAGUGUCUGGGAGAGGUGUAGCUUUAGGAAGAGUGUUCAUGGAAGACCUUUCUGAAUCAGAGCCCUCCUGGUAGAGAGCAUGGUGAAUGCUUUACCUUUCACUCGGUGCCUUAGAGGAAGCCAGCAAAGCUGAGACCUCUUUUGGAAUUGUUUUCUCACUCUUCAUGUUGCAGAGCUGGCCUGAAAAUAAGCCUUUUUAAUCAUCAGUUUUACACCAUACUUUGUUUUAUUCUUCUUCACAAAUACUGCAUUUUUUGUAAAGUAAAGAUUUGUGUCCAACGUGUGUCAAACGGGUCUAUCACUGAACUUUUCCAGCAGCAUUUGCUUUCUUUUUGUGUCUUUGUCACAUUUUGGUAAUGCUCACAAUAUUUCAGACUUUUAUUAUUAAUGUUAUAUUUGUUAUGAUGAUCAGUGAUCUUUGAUGCUGUCAGUAUGACACACUGAAGGUUCAGAGGAUGAUGAGCAUUUUUCAGUAAUAAAAUAUUUUUAAUUAGUGUAUGAACAUUAUUUUUUAGAUGUCAUGCUAUUGUACCCUUAAUAGACUACAAUGUAGUGUAAACAUAAAUUUUAUAUCACUGGGUAACCGAAAAAUUCACGUGACUCACUCUAUUGUAAUAUUUGCUUUAUUAUGGUGGUCUGGAGCUGAACCUGUAGUAUCUCUAAAGUCUGCUUGUGUUUUGUGAGCCACAUUCUUUCCCAACUCCCUGUCUCUUUCCUCCUUUCUCUGUACUUAUGUUCUUCCUGUUCCUCACCAUACUCAUACUCAUCCCGUCUCUCCUGGUUCAGUCCAAACCAUUAUUUUCUUCAAGUUUCAGUCUGAGGUCUCUGUCUUCUCUGAGUUUCUUUCUUGUUUAUCUCACCUCCAAAUGAUCAUGCUUUUUUUCUCUAGUAUUCCUACGGAACUGUGGUGAAGAAAGGAGAUAUACAUAUAUACAUAUUCUGUCCAUCUUCCAAAAUAGAAAUCCGAAAGACUCAUCCUGCUGAUGAGCUUUGCUAAAAUGACAUCAAUUUUGUUCUGUUGCCUCCUCUUUCAUUCUUGUAGAGAAAUUGAAUUCUGUGGAGCUAGUGAACUAUACCUUUUUUUUUGGUAUGGGUGUUCGUAUUGCUUUUGCAUGUGAUAAUAUAGUGUUGUUUAAUGUGACAAGUUAAUUUUUAAAGGGUUUUUUUUGGCUACCAAUUAAUUUAGUAGUUCAAUCAGAUUUUGGAUAUAAGAAUAUCUGUUGUUUUAACUCUUUUUAAAGUCACCAAAUAAGUGAUUCUAAAUAUGAUCAAUCAAAUAUGUUAAGUGUUCAGAAUAUAGGUAUUUUUUCCUGGCAGACAUCUAAAAUAUUUUUGGCCAUUCUCUUUCACUUCACUUGAAUUGCUUUUAGAACACUGGGACUUAUACAUCUGGACUCUGACUAAAAUAUGCCUUAAGCUCUUAUCUUUAAUUCCCAGUCAGUGCCAGAAUUAAAGAGAACAAAGGCCUAUAUGUUCACUGCAGCCUUCAAUUACGCUUAAUUACCAACUUUCAUACAGUUUCAUUAUACAGUACUGACUUUUUGUGAGACGUUCUUUAUAUUCAUGAUGUCGUGGUAGUUGCUUGUAAAAGUCCAAGAUUAAAAUUUUUCCUGAGGAAUUUUAAGGAAACAUAACCUUUCUAAAGUAAUUUUCAUAAAGUUGGAUCAAAGCAACUUGGUGAUCCAUUUUAACAGACGAGAAACAAGAUGUUUAUAUUUCAUUAUGCUAAAGAACUCUGAUAGGAAAAAUCAAGAGUUUACCUGGGUUAUUCUCUAAGAUAUUCACACCCCACCCCGACAGUUCCUGGUCUGUGGGUCACUUAUGUAAUCCAUUAGAGCCUCAGAUAAAGGGCCUCUCCACUAGUACUGUGGUGUUGUCAUCCUUGUACAGAGAAAACUAGCAGAGGUUGAUAUUCCAUAAGAGAUUUGUCAAUCUUAUAGUAACCCUAAUGUUCUACAAAAUAUCUGUCUUCUAUUUUAGCAGCUCCUUCAUUCCCUUUCAAGAGAAUCAUGAUGCUCUUCGAUAAGUAUUCAAAUAUUAGCAUCUCCUGAGGUUGAAUCAUAUGAAAUCAACACUUAGGCUAAAAAGCAUCAAGUACUGGCAAUUUCUUAAGAGUCAAACAUAAUUCUCUUUAGAACUGUCUCUGGCAUAAGAUGUCAAUAUAGAAAUCUGCUUUUCGGGGAAAUAGUCGUUUCUGUUGGGUUUAAUUCUAUCCAGUUCUUGCUUUUUUGUGGACAGUGAUUUCCUAGACAUGGCCUAGUGUAGUGAGUAUGAUAUAGAAGUUGGGUUAGGAUAACAUAAGAACUGUCUCAGCAUACUUUAUUAUUUUCACUCGCUGUCACACUGAAAGCCAAGUCUCUCAGUUUUCUGGGCCUAGGUCAGCUUUCAAGGCCCAGACUUUGUCUCACUGUGAAAAUCGUUCCCUAGACUUCGGUUCUGUGUAAUCACUUCUUUCUACUAAGAAGACUCAUAUACAAUUAGCACAUUCUCUUUUUUCUUUUAUAAAAGGUAAAAUGUAUGCCCUUUGUCCAAACUAGGUAAUUUUUGAGGGUGUGGUUGGUGCUUUUUCUUCUCUGUUUUUCAAAAGGCGAUUGGUUUUAGUGAAUAUUGAUAGAUUUAAGAUAUUAAAAUCUUCAUUGAAAUUUUUCUUUUUCGAGAUGGACUUUUUUUAGCUGGUCUAGCAUACGAUUUAUAGUUACAUUUUGAGCAAGGUAUUGCAAACUAACAUAGUCAUGUGAAACUUUUAAUGUAGUCAACCUCAAGUGCAUUCUUCCUGAGUCACUGUGGCUUUAUCACCUUCUCAUCUUUGAGGCUGAAGAUAACACCUAUUCUCAUUUCUCAGGGUUAUGGAGACGUGGUUGUGAAUUAGUUACUCAGGUACAAAACAAUCAUACUGUAUAGAAACACAGCAUUUUAUAAUUUAAAAAGUGCUUGUUUUUAGAUAAAAACAAAGAAAAUUUUAGUUGCUGAAGUCUAAAUAAUAUCUGUGUUUCCCUUUUCAUGCUAAUCUGGUGGAGAAAAGGAUUAUGGGAAAGAACAGAUUCAGUGGAACAUAUAUAUGAAAAUUUUAAUUUAAAUUAUACACAGGGAGUUCCCAUCAUGGCGCAGUGGUUAACGAAUCCGACUAGGAACCAUGAGGUUGCGGGUUCGAUCCCUGCCGUUGCUCAGUGGGUUAAUGAUCCGGCGUUGCUGUGAGCUGUGGUGUGGUUACAGACGCGGCUUGGAUCCAGCGUUGCUGUGGCUCUGGCGUAGGCCAGUGGCUACAGCUCCGAUUCGACCCCUAGCCUGGGAACUUCCAUAUGCCGCGGGAGCGGCCCAAAGAAAUAGCAAAAAGAGAAAAAAAAAAAAAA
This 3480-nucleotide long non-coding RNA is filed under the name Sus scrofa (pig). Its description in RNAcentral is "lncRNA (ENSSSCG00055001144.1)". Lineage: Eukaryota; Metazoa; Chordata; Mammalia; Artiodactyla; Suidae. The record is from RNAcentral.